GGACGAACGCUGGCGGCGUGCUUAACACAUGCAAGUCGAACGGUGAAGCUCCAGCUUGCUGGAGUGGAUCAGUGGCGAACGGGUGAGUAACACGUGAGCAACCUGCCCCAGACUCUGGAAUAAGCGCUGGAAACGGCGUCUAAUACUGGAUACGAGAUCGAGCCGCAUGGUUAUGGUCUGGAAAGUUUUUCGGUUUGGGAUGGGCUCGCGGCCUAUCAGCUUGUUGGUGAGGUAAUGGCUCACCAAGGCGACGACGGGUAGCCGGCCUGAGAGGGCGACCGGCCACACUGGGACUGAGACACGGCCCAGACUCCUACGGGAGGCAGCAGUGGGGAAUAUUGCACAAUGGGCGAAAGCCUGAUGCAGCGACGCCGCGUGAGGGAUGACGGCCUUCGGGUUGUAAACCUCUUUCAGCAGGGAAGAAGCGAAAGUGACGGUACCUGCAGAAGAAGCACCGGCUAACUAC
Molecule: ribosomal RNA, 466 nt
Filed under: Janibacter sp. 'ARUP UnID 352'
Lineage: Bacteria; Bacillati; Actinomycetota; Actinomycetes; Micrococcales; Intrasporangiaceae
Description: bacterial SSU rRNA
Rfam family: Bacterial small subunit ribosomal RNA
Source: RNAcentral